This 325-nucleotide unclassified non-coding RNA is filed under the name uncultured Ascomycota. RNAcentral's name for it is "sequence contains ITS1". The stretch from base 1 to 104 matches the Rfam family "5.8S ribosomal RNA", at positions 50 to 154 of the family's 154-position model. Lineage: Eukaryota; Fungi; Ascomycota. The record is from RNAcentral.
GAAACGCGAAAGGUAAUGCGAAUUGCAGAAUCAGUGAGUCAUCGAAUCUUUGAACGCACAUUGCGCCUCUCGGUAUUCCGGGAGGCACGCCUGUUCGAGCGCCAUUACACACCCCAAGCUCGGCUUGAUGUUGGACGCUGUCUGUUACAGGACAGGUCUGGAACGCGUGGGCGCCGCCGCCGGACCACGAGCGUAGCAAGACGCAAGUCAUCGCUCUGUGGGCUCACUCGGUGGACGGCGGUCUGGAUGUGGGGUAACACCUUCGUUGACGACACCUAACCAAAAGUUUGGCCUCGGAUCAGGCGGGGAUACCCGCUGAACUUAA